UACAACCUCCAAGAAGUAGUGAAGAGUGCA
RNAcentral lists this non-coding RNA (30 nucleotides) under Rattus norvegicus (Norway rat). Lineage: Eukaryota; Metazoa; Chordata; Mammalia; Rodentia; Muridae. The record is from RNAcentral.